GACGAACGCUGGCGGCGUGCUUAACACAUGCAAGUCGAACGGAAAGGCCCUGCUUUUGUGGGGUGCUCGAGUGGCGAACGGGUGAGUAACACGUGAGUAACCUGCCCUUGACUUUGGGAUAACUUCAGGAAACUGGGGCUAAUACCGGAUAGGAGCUCCUGCUGCAUGGUGGGGGUUGGAAAGUUUCGGCGGUUGGGGAUGGACUCGCGGCUUAUCAGCUUGUUGGUGGGGUAGUGGCUUACCAAGGCUUUGACGGGUAGCCGGCCUGAGAGGGUGACCGGCCACAUUGGGACUGAGAUACGGCCCAGACUCCUACGGGAGGCAGCAGUGGGGAAUACUGCACAAUGGGCGGAAGCCUGAUGCAGCAACGCCGCGUGCGGGAUGACGGCCUUCGGGUUGUAAACCGCUUUCGCCUGUGACGAAGCGUGAGUGACGGUAAUGGGCAAAGAAGCACCGGCUAACUACGUGCCAGCAGCCGCGGUGAUACGUAGGGUGCGAGCGUUGUCCGGAUUUUAUGGGCGUAAGGGCUCGUAGGUGGUUGAUCGCGUCGGAAGUGUAAUCUUGGGGCUUAACCCUGAGCGUGCUUUCGAUACGGGUUGACUUGAGGAAGGUAGGGGAGAAUGGAAUUCCUGGUGGAGCGGUGGAAUGCGCAGAUAUCAGGAGGAACACCAGUGGCGAAGGCGGUUCUCUGGGCCUUUCCUGACGCUGAGGAGCGAAAGCGUGGGGAGCGAACAGGCUUAGAUACCCUGGUAGUCCACGCUGUAAACGGUGGGUACUAGGUGUGGGGUCCAUUCCACGGGUUCCGCGCCGUAGCUAACGCUUUAAGUACCCCGCCUGGGGAGUACGGCCGCAAGGCUAAAACUCAAAGGAAUUGACGGGGCCCCGCACAAGCGGCGGAGCAUGCGGAUUAAUUCGAUGCAACGCGUAGAACCUUACCUGGGUUUGACAUGGAUCGGGAGUGCUCAGAGAUGGGUGUGCCUCUUUUGGGGUCGGUUCACAGGUGGUGCAUGGCUGUCGUCAGCUCGUGUCGUGAGAUGUUGGGUUAAGUCCCGCAACGAGCGCAACCCUUGUUCACUGUUGCCAGCACGUUAUGGUGGGGACUCAGUGGAGACCGCCGGGGUCAACUCGGAGGAAGGUGGGGAUGACGUCAAGUCAUCAUGCCCCUUAUGUCCAGGGCUUCACGCAUGCUACAAUGGCUGGUACAGAGAGUGGCGAGCCUGUGAGGGUGAGCGAAUCUCGGAAAGCCGGUCUCAGUUCGGAUUGGGGUCUGCAACUCGACCUCAUGAAGUCGGAGUCGCUAGUAAUCGCAGAUCAGCAACGCUGCGGUGAAUACGUUCCCGGGGCU
RNAcentral lists this ribosomal RNA (1345 nucleotides) under uncultured bacterium. RNAcentral's name for it is "partial 16S ribosomal RNA". It matches the Rfam family "Bacterial small subunit ribosomal RNA", at positions 28 to 1381 of the family's 1533-position model. The record is from RNAcentral.